Molecule: small nuclear RNA, 289 nt
Filed under: Microtus ochrogaster (prairie vole)
Lineage: Eukaryota; Metazoa; Chordata; Mammalia; Rodentia; Cricetidae
Description: 7SK RNA (ENSMOCG00000011856.1)
Rfam family: 7SK RNA
About the family: 7SK was discovered as an abundant small nuclear RNA in the mid-70s but a possible function has only recently been suggested. Two independent studies have found that 7SK RNA binds the CDK9/cyclin T complex (known as elongation factor P-TEFb).
Source: RNAcentral
GAAUGUGAGGGUAGCCAGGCUGAGACAUUGUCACCCUGUUGUUGCUAGUUCAUUUGGAUAAUGUGGCUGUCUACCUUCUCUUCCCAUGCUCCUUCCUGUGUAUCCCUUUUAGAACUGUACAGUCUGAGAAGAUGACUUUCUCUGAAACAGGAGGACCAUUCUUGACUCAAGGAUAUACAAAAAAGCUCUAGUCCCCUGAUGUACCUCCAAAUCAGCCCUCAAAUUCCAAAUCAGUCCAGAUUUUAAACCAAUUCUAUUAAAAACAAUUACCAUUGUUUAUGAGGUCAUU